This 253-nucleotide ribosomal RNA is filed under the name uncultured bacterium. RNAcentral describes it as "partial 16S ribosomal RNA". It matches the Rfam family "Bacterial small subunit ribosomal RNA", at positions 524 to 776 of the family's 1533-position model. The record is from RNAcentral.
UACGGAGGGUGCGAGCGUUAAUCGGAAUCACUGGGCGUAAAGCGCGCGUAGGCGGCUUUUCAGGUCAGGGGUGAAAUCCCACGGCCCAACCGUGGAACUGCCUUUGAAACUGUAGAGCUUGAGUGUCGGAGAGGGUGGCGGAAUUCCAGGUGUAGGAGUGAAAUCCGUAGAUAUCUGGAGGAACACCGGUGGCGAAGGCGGCCACCUGGACGACAACUGACGCUGAGGUGCGAAAGCGUGGGUAGCAAACAGG